UCUUUGCCAUAAUGACCUGAAGUAGGCUG
This 29-nucleotide non-coding RNA is filed under the name Mus musculus (house mouse). The record is from RNAcentral. Lineage: Eukaryota; Metazoa; Chordata; Mammalia; Rodentia; Muridae.